This 253-nucleotide ribosomal RNA is filed under the name uncultured bacterium. Its description in RNAcentral is "partial 16S ribosomal RNA". It matches the Rfam family "Bacterial small subunit ribosomal RNA", at positions 524 to 776 of the family's 1533-position model. The record is from RNAcentral.
UACGUAGGGUGCAAGCGUUGUCCGGAAUUAUUGGGCGUAAAGAGCUCGUAGGCGGUCUGUCGCGUCUGCUGUGAAAACUCGGGGCUUAACCCCGGGCCUGCAGUGGGUACGGGCAGACUAGAGUGCGGUAGGGGAGACUGGAAUUCCUGGUGUAGCGGUGAAAUGCGCAGAUAUCAGGAGGAACACCGGUGGCGAAGGCAGGUCUCUGGGCCGUAACUGACGCUGAGGAGCGAAAGCAUGGGUAGCGAACAGG